GGGUUACUGACCUGGUAGCCUGUCUGCCCCUGGGUGGGUCCGGGAUGGGUGUGAGGGUCUGGGGGCGCUCCAUCUCUGGGCCGGGGCCCUGGCUGGGCCUCGGGGCCUUGGGUCCUGGUUUGUGUGUUGCCGGGGUUGUGGGCGGGUGGGUGCAUGGGAGCCCAUCCCUGGCGCAGGGUGCCGCCGGUGUGUCGAGUCGCCUGUGGGGCUCUUCAACCGGUGGGGGAGAUUGUUACACCUUGCAGGAGCUUUCUUCCCCUCAGGAACUCUCUGCAGGAGGGGGAGAUACAGGAGAGGUGGAGGAAGAUCUCAGCCUGGGCGUCUAUUGUCUCAUGUAGUCUGGAAGACGAGUGGAUGGUGGGGUGGGUGCAGUUUUCUCUGUGGUGGGGUUGGGUGGACUGUCCCGGGCUCUGUGGGGCCGGGGGGCGCUGCUGCGCCUCUGUGGGUCUUCCUUGGUCUCUUGUGUUCUGGGGGCCUCUGGAUGUCUGGAGUUUUGAUCUCCUCCAUACCUGCUUGAUACCAUAGAGGACAGGGCUGUGGCUCCCCACACUCUCUAGCAGAUCAUUACAUGGAGAAACCUUUGGAAUGCAAGAAUGCUGAUCCACACAGGUAUGCACACAGGUGUACACAUGGGUAUUCACAGAUGCGGACUACAGCUUUCUUGGCUGCUGCCUCAAAGCACACUGUGCGCUGUCUAUCUUGCGUGCUGCACAAUAUCGUUUAUUAUUUAGUAACUAUUGAUAUCUAUGACUAGCUAGUUUAUUGUGAUGGUGCUUUUUUUUUUUUUUCUAUUAUUAUGUUGCUCUUUGUUGUUUGCUGUCUCCCCUGUUUUUUUUUGUUUUUCUUUCUCUCCAUACAGGUGACCCAGUAGUUUUUUUUUUUGUUGUUGUUUGUUUUUUUUUUCUCUCUUCCCCCCCUUCUCACCGUCUCUUCUCCCCUUUGGUUUUCUUUCUUUCUCUCCCCCUCUUUCUUUCAUUCUUUCCCCCUGUCCUAAAAAAAAAAAAAAGGAUGACAAAGGAUGAACUGAAGCUCCGCCAUCACGUGAUGUCACAUGCUGCUGUUUCUGAUGUCACUUCCAAAAAAAAAAAAAAAUAAUAAUAAUAAUAAUAAUAAUAAUAAUAAUUCCUUUUUUUUUUUUUUUUUUAAUAAUAAUUCCUAAACAAAUGAUAUUUAACUUGACAACAAAACUGGACAAUGAGUGACCAAUGAUGAGACAUCCUAUUUUGGUGAGUAGCAGACAUGGAUCAAUUUUCAUUUGCAACCACAAUA
This is a long non-coding RNA of Astatotilapia calliptera (eastern happy), 1269 nucleotides long. NCBI's taxonomy places the organism in Eukaryota, Metazoa, Chordata, Actinopteri, Cichliformes, Cichlidae. The record is from Ensembl.